Puntigrus tetrazona (Sumatra barb) is the source of this 857-nucleotide long non-coding RNA. RefSeq lists it as uncharacterized. NCBI's taxonomy places the organism in Eukaryota, Metazoa, Chordata, Actinopteri, Cypriniformes, Cyprinidae. The transcript has 3 exons. The record is from RefSeq and is a predicted model, not a curated record.
UUGGUCGCCACACAUAAAACCUUUUAAAACAAGGACACGCGAGGGUCUGAGGCUCGUUUGGUGACACUCUGAACCAAAAAAACAAAAGGCUGCCUGUAAGUUUAGCAGUGCUUCAAAUUUGAGGGACACCCCUGUAAAACCACCAGAUGGCAGUCAAGAUCAACAGAAUUAAAUUUCUACAUUUUCUACAAACCCCCCCCUUAAAGUAACCUUUAAUUACCUAACUGAGGCUGAACGUUUGGCACCGAAUUCCCUUUUAUAAUUUAAGUUUUGUAAAUGCAAAUGAAAUCUGCCAUCCAUAGUGUAGCCUUACAUCUUUUAAUUUUUUUUUUUUUUUUUACUUUAAAGGUGUUGGAUGCAUUGAGGGUUUAUGAAAAUCUGCUCAACUGCAAUAUGAAAACGGAACGUUAGUCUUGCACCCUCCAAGCAACCGCCUCUGAACUGACCGAAAACGUCUAGCUUCGUUUCAGACCUCCUGACUGCCACGACGACAACAGCCUAGCAAAGUCAUCACAUGCUUAAGUGCCUCUGCAGCAAAGAACAAAGAGCAAACGUCGUGCCAGAGUCACUUACACAACCUGCAAAUUUAGAGGAGACGACAAACAGGAAAUGACGGCCAUCUCAGCUUUUAAGUGAGUCUGACAGAUGCAAUUAUCCCCUCCUCCAAAGGUUAAUAAACACAUCUACGCACAGCCAUGUGUGAUGGCAGAGCCCUGACCACACAGUACACCCAGAGCAGCUGAGAAGCGCAUGAUGAUUCAUGGCUUUACUUACAGAAAACAUCAAGAGUACAAAACAUCGAUGACGACGACAUCCCAUUAAAAACAUCUUUUGUUUCUUAAAGCUCCUAAACCCCA